This 704-nucleotide ribosomal RNA is filed under the name Clostridium sporogenes. RNAcentral describes it as "bacterial SSU rRNA". It matches the Rfam family "Bacterial small subunit ribosomal RNA", at positions 366 to 1090 of the family's 1533-position model. The record is from RNAcentral. Lineage: Bacteria; Bacillati; Bacillota; Clostridia; Eubacteriales; Clostridiaceae.
GCGCAUGGGGGAACCCNGACGCAGCACGCCGCGUGGGUGAUGAAGGUCUUCGGAUUGUAAAGCCCUGUUUUCUGGGACGAUAAUGACGGUACCAGAGGAGGAAGCCACGGCUAACUACGUGCCAGCAGCCGCGGUAAUACGUAGGUGGCGAGCGUUGUCCGGAUUUACUGGGCGUAAAGGGUGCGUAGGCGGAUGUUUAAGUGGGAUGUGAAAUCCCCGGGCUUAACCUGGGGGCUGCAUUCCAAACUGGAUAUCUAGAGUGCAGGAGAGGAAAGCGGAAUUCCUAGUGUAGCGGUGAAAUGCGUAGAGAUUAGGAAGAACACCAGUGGCGAAGGCGGCUUUCUGGACUGUAACUGACGCUGAGGCACGAAAGCGUGGGUAGCAAACAGGAUUAGAUACCCUGGUAGUCCACGCCGUAAACGAUGGAUACUAGGUGUAGGGGGUAUCAACUCCCUCUGUGCCGCAGUUAACACAAUAAGUAUCCCGCCUGGGGAGUACGGUCGCAAGAUUAAAACUCAAAGGAAUUGACGGGGGCCCGCACAAGCAGCGGAGCAUGUGGUUUAAUUCGAAGCAACGCGAAGAACCUUACCUGGACUUGACAUCCCUUGCAUAGCCUAAAGAUAGGUGAAGCCCUUCGGGGCANGGANACAGGUGGUGCAUGGUUGUCGUCAGCUCGUGUCGUGAGAUGUUAGGUUAAGUCCUGC